Non-coding RNA from Podarcis lilfordi (Lilford's wall lizard), 1348 nucleotides. Lineage: Eukaryota; Metazoa; Chordata; Lepidosauria; Squamata; Lacertidae. The record is from the annotation of a GenBank genome assembly.
AGUUUUUUCCCUACAAUCAAGCUGUCUAAAUUUUAUGAAAUAAAAUACACGGUGCUACUGAAGAACUAGUUUUGGCAUUAGUGGUUAAAUCAGUGCUGCUUGAUAGGUGCGGUCUGCCAUCUUGAUUCAAAAUGGCGUCCAAUUGUAUCCAAACACAGACGGAAACCUGCUUCUUGAGCUCAGGCACCAUCAUGCAAAAUUUGGUAAGAAUUAGUGCAGAAUUGAAAGGUUCAUGCCAUAAUCUGGAUUCAAAAUGGCAUCCAAUUGUACCCAACAAUUGUAUAAUAGCCAACACAGUCUAACCUCCCCAUAAACUUUGAUCUGCAAACAAUUCAAAAUGAAUGCUCAAUAAAGAAGUUGUCCGGAAGUUGUAGUGGGAUUCUGUGUAUGUUUAGAUGGCUGACAAUGCCCCUGCUGGGUUGGUUUGCCUUCUUUCGGGACCCAUCUGCCCCCCAUCUCUCUCUCUCUCUCUCUCUCUCUCUCUCUCUCUCUCACACACACACACACACACACACACACACACUCAUUCCAGCCGUGGAGCCCAGCUGCUCCAUUCCUGCUCAUGCUACAAUGGCACAACAUAUAGAGAUUUAAUUGGGUGAACGACGGUCUCAACAGGGACUAUGGAUUUCUUUCUCAUUAUAAAGCCUGGUGGAAGAAAUUAAGGUAUGCAUUCACUUUAGGAUGAGGAUUCCACACAGGCGCUUUCUUUCAAAAUCCUAACAACCGACCCUUAUAUACGUCUUGCUGUUGUGUACUUAUAUAUUUCAGCAUCUGAUGGUGGUGGACUGUAGCAGAUAGAAGCUCAUGCAAAGGUCAAGUCUUUUCUUUCUUUUUCUAAUGAACAGCCUCAGACAAACAUAGCUUUGAAUAGCACAAGAUGCAGAGGAAGGCUGCUAGGAAAUGAUGUGUGCUUGUCCGCUUAGCGGAGGCUUCCUGAACAGGCUGUGCCGGAACAUUCCGUAAGUGUCAGCAGAAUCAGCACCCUAACCUAUCCCCAGCAAAGAGACUCACGGACUUCACAGCAGCCGGUUGGAUGGCUAUAGUUUUGCAGCGAUGGGGAACCUGUGGUCUUCCAGACAUUGCUGGAGAUCGGCUCUAACCAAUGGUUUAUAAAAUGCUGACUGCAAAACUAAGAGAUCAAAAUGAUGGUUUAUGGAAAACUGGAUACCUUUUUGGGGAGGAUUUUCUGUCGAAAUAUUUUAGUGAUAUGAAAUUGUGUGCAGGAUUUGAGAUACGAGAGGCGGGGGGAAACGAUGAUAAGAUGGAGUUAGAAGGUUUAAGAACAAUGCAGCAGUUAAGGAUAAGAAUAAAAAGCAUGAGUGUGGGAGGGGUGGUAAGUCAAAAA